CUUGCUUUCUUUGCUGGCGACCGGCGCACGGGUGAGUAACACGUAUCCAACCUGCCCUUUACUCGGGGAUAGCCUUUCGAAAGAAAGAUUAAUACCCGAUGGGAUAAUUAUUCCGCAUGGUUUGAUUAUUAAAGGAUUCCGGUAAUGGAUGGGGAUGCGUUCCAUUAGGUUGUUGGUGAGGUAACGGCUCACCAAGCCUUCGAUGGAUAGGGGUUCUGGGAGGAAGGUCCCCCACAUUGGAACUGAGACACGGUCCAA
This 258-nucleotide ribosomal RNA is filed under the name uncultured bacterium. Its description in RNAcentral is "partial 16S ribosomal RNA". It matches the Rfam family "Bacterial small subunit ribosomal RNA", at positions 75 to 334 of the family's 1533-position model. The record is from RNAcentral.